Molecule: ribosomal RNA, 647 nt
Filed under: uncultured bacterium
Lineage: Bacteria
Description: bacterial SSU rRNA
Rfam family: Bacterial small subunit ribosomal RNA
Source: RNAcentral
GUAAUGCGUAGGAAGCUGCCCGAUAGAGGGGGAUGCCAGUUGGAAACGACUGUUAAUACCGCAUAAUGUCUACGGACCAAAGUGUGGGACCUUCGGGCCACAUGCUAUCGGAUGCGCCUACGUGGGAUUAGCUAGUUGGUGAGGUAAUGGCUCACCAAGGCGACGAUCUCUAGCUGGUUUGAGAGGAUGAUCAGCCACACUGGAACUGAGACACGGUCCAGACUCCUACGGGAGGCAGCAGUGGGGAAUAUUGGACAAUGGGCGCAAGCCUGAUCCAGCCAUGCCGCGUGUGUGAAGAAGGCCUUCGGGUUGUAAAGCACUUUCAGCGAGGAGGAAGGGGUUGUAGUUAAUAGCUGCAACCUUUGACGUUACUCGCAGAAGAAGCACCGGCUAACUCUGUGCCAGCAGCCGCGGUAAUACAGAGGGUGCAAGCGUUAAUCGGAAUUACUGGGCGUAAAGCGCACGCAGGCGGUUGGUUAAGUCAGAUGUGAAAGCCCCGGGCUCAACCUGGGAAUUGCAUUUGAAACUGGCCAACUAGAGUAUGUGAGAGGGGGGUAGAAUUCCAAGUGUAGCGGUGAAAUGCGUAGAGAUUUGGAGGAAUACCAGUGGCGAAGGCGGCCCCCUGGCACAAUACUGACGCUCAGGUG